GAUGAACGCUGGCGGCGUGCCUAAUACAUGCAAGUCGAGCGAACGGACGAGAAGCUUGCUUCUCUGAUGUUAGCGGCGGACGGGUGAGUAACACGUGGAUAACCUACCUAUAAGACUGGGAUAACUUCGGGAAACCGGAGCUAAUACCGGAUAAUAUUUUGAACCGCAUGGUUCAAAAGUGAAAGACGGUCUUGCUGUCACUUAUAGAUGGAUCCGCGCUGCAUUAGCUAGUUGGUAAGGUAACGGCUUACCAAGGCAACGAUGCAUAGCCGACCUGAGAGGGUGAUCGGCCACACUAGAACUGAGACACGGUCCAGACUCCUACGGGAGGCAGCAGUAGGGAAUCUUCCGCCAUGGGCGAAAGCCUGACGGAGCAACGCCGCGUGAGUGAUGAAGGUCUUCGGAUCGUAAAACUCUGUUAUUAGGGAAGAACAUAUGUGUAAGUAACUGUGCACAUCUUGACGGUAGCUAAUCAGAAAGCCACGGCUAACUACGUG
This 497-nucleotide ribosomal RNA is filed under the name uncultured bacterium. RNAcentral describes it as "partial 16S ribosomal RNA". It matches the Rfam family "Bacterial small subunit ribosomal RNA", at positions 28 to 507 of the family's 1533-position model. The record is from RNAcentral.